Molecule: long non-coding RNA, 484 nt
Organism: Syzygium oleosum
Lineage: Eukaryota; Viridiplantae; Streptophyta; Magnoliopsida; Myrtales; Myrtaceae
Exons: 2
Source: RefSeq, a predicted model, not a curated record
GGACUGGGUUCAAAAGCUAGACUCUAGUGGUGUCAUAUAGAGGGUCCCUUGGCCCGGGCUUGUAGGCCUCAUUGCAAUCGGGCUUUGAGCGCUGAGUUUCCAAACUAAGGCGCUGGGUGUGGGCGAGCAUUGAGAGACAUUUCCCUAGUACGGGGAGGAUAAUUGACCCUUUUGUCGUUAAUGAUGACGGCCUGGGAUGUCAUAUCUCAAGAUCACAUUUGUCACAUGCCUAGGAUAAUGACACCUAUUACUGACUUUUUAAAAAUGAAAUAGUCUCGAAUGUGUGCAAGAGACGUAAAGAGAAACGAGGAUAGAGGAAUUCCAUCUUUUCAUGGCUUGCUCUAGAUGUUGUUUGGCUUAUGUUUCUAUCUAAUCACAAUCGAUAGAGGCUCGUGUUUUUCUCCAUUCUUGGUUGGAAAAAAUUCUCUCCAUCCUUGUUUGGAGAAAACCUCCUCUAACCAUUAUUCUGAUUAGUGGAUACAAA